This 224-nucleotide non-coding RNA is filed under the name Desulfitobacterium hafniense. RNAcentral's name for it is "T-box sequence". It matches the Rfam family "T-box leader". Rfam says of the family: Uncharged tRNA acts as the effector for transcription antitermination of genes in the T-box leader family. T-boxes are found upstream of many aminoacyl-tRNA synthetase genes and some amino acid biosynthetic genes usually in Gram-positive bacteria. Lineage: Bacteria; Bacillati; Bacillota; Clostridia; Eubacteriales; Desulfitobacteriaceae. The record is from RNAcentral.
AUGAAAACGAUGAUGGGGAAAGUAAUUUGUUUUGGUUUGUGUUAGAGAGGAGAUGCCACCGGCUGCAAGCAUCUCUCACAGAGAAGCAGAGGAAGACCACCCCGGAGUGCUGAGUUGAAGAGAAGUAAGCUCAGACGUCGGCCCGCGUUAAGGGAGCAAAGUGAAAGCAUCCGAGGGUGCUUUAACUUGGGUGGAACCACGGGAAUAAAGUUCUCGUCCCAUAU